UACGGGGGGGGCAAGCGUUGUUCGGAAUUACUGGGCGUAAAGGGCUCGUAGGUGGCCAACUAAGUCAGACGUGAAAUCCCUCGGCUUAACCGGGGAACUGCGUCUGAUACUGGAUGGCUUGAGAUUGGGAGAGGGAUGCGGAAUUCCAGGUGUAGCGGUGAAAUGCGUAGAUAUCGGAAGGAACACCAGUGGCGAAAGCGGCUUCCUGGUCCAGCACCGACGUUCAGGCACGAAAGCGUGGGGAGCAAACAGG
Molecule: ribosomal RNA, 253 nt
Filed under: uncultured bacterium
Lineage: Bacteria
Description: partial 16S ribosomal RNA
Rfam family: Bacterial small subunit ribosomal RNA
Source: RNAcentral